RNAcentral lists this ribosomal RNA (405 nucleotides) under uncultured bacterium. RNAcentral describes it as "bacterial SSU rRNA". It matches the Rfam family "Bacterial small subunit ribosomal RNA", at positions 355 to 775 of the family's 1533-position model. The record is from RNAcentral.
UAGGGAAUCUUGCACAAUGGGGGAAACCCUGAUGCAGCGACGCCGCGUGAGCGAUGAAGCCCUUCGGGGUGUAAAGCUCUUUCGGCGGGGACGAAUCAUGACGGUACCCGCAGAAGCAGCUGCGGCUAACUACGUGCCAGCAGCCGCGGUAAUACGUAGGCAGCGAGCGUUGUUCGGAGUUACUGGGCGUAAAGGGUGUGCAGGCGGCUUUCUAAGUUUGGUGUGAAAUCUCCCGGCUCAACUGGGAGGGUGCGCCGAAAACUGGGAGGCUUCGAGUGCGGGAGAGGAGAGUGGAAUUCCUGGUGUAGCGGUGAAAUGCGUAGAGAUCAGGAGGAACACCGGCGGUGUAGACGGCUCUCUGGACCGUGACUGACGCUGAGACACGAAAGCGUGGGGAGCAAACAG